RNAcentral lists this long non-coding RNA (807 nucleotides) under Oryza brachyantha (malo sina). Its description in RNAcentral is "long non-coding RNA (OBRA_LNC003178)". The record is from RNAcentral. Lineage: Eukaryota; Viridiplantae; Streptophyta; Magnoliopsida; Poales; Poaceae.
AGGAAUUUUUCGAUGGGCAGUAGUCCUGCGACAUAAUUUGACAACAUAUAAAAAGAAUUUCUAAUACCACAAUUCCCAUAUAUAGGUAUAAAUUUAGUUAAAAACCGAGGCAAUUAUAUAAAAAUAAUAAAUAAUAGAAUGGUAAGAUAAAUGUUUGACUAAUUUAGCUACUAAACUUAAAAUGUGUAAAUAUUACAAGUUUACAGCAUUGAUUCAUAAAAUAGUACAAAGACGAAAGAUUUGAUACAUAAAGUGAAGAGAUGUAAUAUCCCCACUCCUCUUCAUAAAUAAGUAAUAAUCCAAUCCUUGAAUCGUAGUGUCCUAUAAUAAUAAUGAUUUAUUCACUUUCAUUCUUGAUAGAGAUGCACUAAAAAUUAAAAUAGAGAAUAAUAUGUGUGGACACCAUGCUAAAAUGAGUGACAAAAACUAGGGAUUAUUCUAUAUUUCUGUUGCAGAUGGCUGUAAUUAACAUCAACAUGAGUAGUUUCAUUAGUGCUCUACGGAUCUACUCACAAAUUCAGAGGGGACCAGGAGGGCAGGUCGGCAGGAAAGGAGGCCGAGAGGGGCCUAGAGAGCGGCGACCAGGAGGAUGCGGCUGCAACGACCCGAGGUGGUCAGGCGGCCGGGCAGUGGCGCAGCCGCAGCUGAAGCGCAGGCGAGGAGGCGGGCAUCCGAGCAACCCGGCGAGGCGCUGAGGUCCAGCCGACGUUCGUUCUGUUAUCUGAACAUCUCAAGUAGUGGAGUGUAGGUGUUAAAAACUUAAAAAUGUUGUCUCAACACCGACACAAGUAAAUAUCACAAGGAUCG